Molecule: ribosomal RNA, 508 nt
Filed under: uncultured bacterium
Lineage: Bacteria
Description: bacterial SSU rRNA
Rfam family: Bacterial small subunit ribosomal RNA
Source: RNAcentral
AUUGAACGCUGGCGGAAUGCUUUACACAUGCAAGUCGAGCGGCAGCGCGGGGGCAACCCUGGCGGCGAGCGGCGAACGGGUGAGUAACAUAUCGGAACGUACCCAGUCGUGGGGGAUAACUAUCCGAAAGGAUAGCUAAUACCGCAUACGACCUGAGGGUGAAAGCGGGGGACCGAAAGGCCUCGCGCGAUUGGAGCGGCCGAUAUCGGAUUAGCUAGUUGGUGAGGUAAAGGCUCACCAAGGCGACGAUCCGUAGCUGGUCUGAGAGGACGACCAGCCACACUGGAACUGAGACACGGUCCAGACUCCUACGGGAGGCAGCAGUGGGGAAUAUUGCGCAAUGGGGGAAACCCUGACGCAGCGACGCCGCGUGAGCGAAGAAGGCCUUAGGGUCGUAAAGCUCUGUUGUAAGGGACGAAUGUUUAUCUGGCGAACAGUCAGAUAAAGUGACGGUACCUUACCAGCAAAGCCCCGGCUAACUACGUGCCAGCAGCCGCGGUAAAAGUGU